GAUGAACGCUGGCGGCGUGCUUAACACAUGCAAGUCGAACGGUGAAGCAGGAGCUUGCUCCUGUGGAUCAGUGGCGAACGGGUGAGUAACACGUGAGCAACCUGCCCCUGACUCUGGGAUAAGCGCUGGAAACGGCGUCUAAUACUGGAUAUGUGAUGUGACCGCAUGGUCUGCAUCUGGAAAGAAUUUCGGUUGGGGAUGGGCUCGCGGCCUAUCAGCUUGUUGGUGAGGUAAUGGCUCACCAAGGCGUCGACGGGUAGCCGGCCUGAGAGGGUGACCGGCCACACUGGGACUGAGACACGGCCCAGACUCCUACGGGAGGCAGCAGUGGGGAAUAUUGCACAAAGGGCGGAAGCCUGAUGCAGCAACGCCGCGUGAGGGAUGACGGCCUUCGGGCUGUAAACCUCUUUUAGCAGGGAAGAAGCGAAAGUGACGGUACCUGCAGAAAAAGCACCGGCUAACUACGUGCCAGCCGCCGCUGUAA
Molecule: ribosomal RNA, 484 nt
Filed under: uncultured bacterium
Lineage: Bacteria
Description: partial 16S ribosomal RNA
Rfam family: Bacterial small subunit ribosomal RNA
Source: RNAcentral